MicroRNA precursor from Xenopus tropicalis (tropical clawed frog), 82 nucleotides. Ensembl annotates it as xtr-mir-27c-2. Its record names the gene xtr-mir-27c-1. Lineage: Eukaryota; Metazoa; Chordata; Amphibia; Anura; Pipidae. The record is from Ensembl.
CUCUAGAGAGGCAGGACUUAGCUGGCUCUGUGAACAGGUCUUGUGUGUCAAUGUUCACAGUGGCUAAGUUCCACCCCACUGG